This 2417-nucleotide ribosomal RNA is filed under the name Escherichia coli. Its description in RNAcentral is "partial 23S ribosomal RNA". It matches the Rfam family "Bacterial large subunit ribosomal RNA", at positions 418 to 2820 of the family's 2925-position model. The record is from RNAcentral. Lineage: Bacteria; Pseudomonadati; Pseudomonadota; Gammaproteobacteria; Enterobacterales; Enterobacteriaceae.
CGGGACACGUGGUAUCCUGUCUGAAUAUGGGGGGACCAUCCUCCAAGGCUAAAUACUCCUGACUGACCGAUAGUGAACCAGUACCGUGAGGGAAAGGCGAAAAGAACCCCGGCGAGGGGAGUGAAAAAGAACCUGAAACCGUGUACGUACAAGCAGUGGGAGCACGCUUAGGCGUGUGACUGCGUACCUUUUGUAUAAUGGGUCAGCGACUUAUAUUCUGUAGCAAGGUUAACCGAAUAGGGGAGCCGAAGGGAAACCGAGUCUUAACUGGGCGUUAAGUUGCAGGGUAUAGACCCGAAACCCGGUGAUCUAGCCAUGGGCAGGUUGAAGGUUGGGUAACACUAACUGGAGGACCGAACCGACUAAUGUUGAAAAAUUAGCGGAUGACUUGUGGCUGGGGGUGAAAGGCCAAUCAAACCGGGAGAUAGCUGGUUCUCCCCGAAAGCUAUUUAGGUAGCGCCUCGUGAAUUCAUCUCCGGGGGUAGAGCACUGUUUCGGCAAGGGGGUCAUCCCGACUUACCAACCCGAUGCAAACUGCGAAUACCGGAGAAUGUUAUCACGGGAGACACACGGCGGGUGCUAACGUCCGUCGUGAAGAGGGAAACAACCCAGACCGCCAGCUAAGGUCCCAAAGUCAUGGUUAAGUGGGAAACGAUGUGGGAAGGCCCAGACAGCCAGGAUGUUGGCUUAGAAGCAGCCAUCAUUUAAAGAAAGCGUAAUAGCUCACUGGUCGAGUCGGCCUGCGCGGAAGAUGUAACGGGGCUAAACCAUGCACCGAAGCUGCGGCAGCGACGCUUAUGCGUUGUUGGGUAGGGGAGCGUUCUGUAAGCCUGUGAAGGUGUGCUGUGAGGCAUGCUGGAGGUAUCAGAAGUGCGAAUGCUGACAUAAGUAACGAUAAAGCGGGUGAAAAGCCCGCUCGCCGGAAGACCAAGGGUUCCUGUCCAACGUUAAUCGGGGCAGGGUGAGUCGACCCCUAAGGCGAGGCCGAAAGGCGUAGUCGAUGGGAAACAGGUUAAUAUUCCUGUACUUGGUGUUACUGCGAAGGGGGGACGGAGAAGGCUAUGUUGGCCGGGCGACGGUUGUCCCGGUUUAAGCGUGUAGGCUGGUUUUCCAGGCAAAUCCGGAAAAUCAAGGCUGAGGCGUGAUGACGAGGCACUACGGUGCUGAAGCAACAAAUGCCCUGCUUCCAGGAAAAGCCUCUAAGCAUCAGGUAACAUCAAAUCGUACCCCAAACCGACACAGGUGGUCAGGUAGAGAAUACCAAGGCGCUUGAGAGAACUCGGGUGAAGGAACUAGGCAAAAUGGUGCCGUAACUUCGGGAGAAGGCACGCUGAUAUGUAGGUGAAGUCCCUCGCGGAUGGAGCUGAAAUCAGUCGAAGAUACCAGCUGGCUGCAACUGUUUAUUAAAAACACAGCACUGUGCAAACACGAAAGUGGACGUAUACGGUGUGACGCCUGCCCGGUGCCGGAAGGUUAAUUGAUGGGGUCAGCGCAAGCGAAGCUCUUGAUCGAAGCCCCGGUAAACGGCGGCCGUAACUAUAACGGUCCUAAGGUAGCGAAAUUCCUUGUCGGGUAAGUUCCGACCUGCACGAAUGGCGUAAUGAUGGCCAGGCUGUCUCCACCCGAGACUCAGUGAAAUUGAACUCGCUGUGAAGAUGCAGUGUACCCGCGGCAAGACGGAAAGACCCCGUGAACCUUUACUAUAGCUUGACACUGAACAUUGAGCCUUGAUGUGUAGGAUAGGUGGGAGGCUUUGAAGUGUGGACGCCAGUCUGCAUGGAGCCGACCUUGAAAUACCACCCUUUAAUGUUUGAUGUUCUAACGUUGACCCGUAAUCCGGGUUGCGGACAGUGUCUGGUGGGUAGUUUGACUGGGGCGGUCUCCUCCUAAAGAGUAACGGAGGAGCACGAAGGUUGGCUAAUCCUGGUCGGACAUCAGGAGGUUAGUGCAAUGGCAUAAGCCAGCUUGACUGCGAGCGUGACGGCGCGAGCAGGUGCGAAAGCAGGUCAUAGUGAUCCGGUGGUUCUGAAUGGAAGGGCCAUCGCUCAACGGAUAAAAGGUACUCCGGGGAUAACAGGCUGAUACCGCCCAAGAGUUCAUAUCGACGGCGGUGUUUGGCACCUCGAUGUCGGCUCAUCACAUCCUGGGGCUGAAGUAGGUCCCAAGGGUAUGGCUGUUCGCCAUUUAAAGUGGUACGCGAGCUGGGUUUAGAACGUCGUGAGACAGUUCGGUCCCUAUCUGCCGUGGGCGCUGGAGAACUGAGGGGGGCUGCUCCUAGUACGAGAGGACCGGAGUGGACGCAUCACUGGUGUUCGGGUUGUCAUGCCAAUGGCACUGCCCGGUAGCUAAAUGCGGAAGAGAUAAGUGCUGAAAGCAUCUAAGCACGAAACUUGCCCCGAGAUGAGUUCUCCCUGACC